This 495-nucleotide ribosomal RNA is filed under the name uncultured bacterium. Its description in RNAcentral is "partial 16S ribosomal RNA". It matches the Rfam family "Bacterial small subunit ribosomal RNA", at positions 28 to 507 of the family's 1533-position model. The record is from RNAcentral.
GAUGAACGCUGGCGGCGUGCCUAAUACAUGCAAGUAGAACGCUGAAGGAGGAGCUUGCUCUUCUGGAUGAGUUGCGAACGGGUGAGUAACGCGUAGGUAACCUGCCUGGUAGCGGGGGAUAACUAUUGGAAACGAUAGCUAAUACCGCAUGACAACAGUUAUUGCAUGAUAACUGUUUAAAAGGGGCAACUGCUCCACUACCAGAUGGACCUGCGUUGUAUUAGCUAGUUGGUGAGGUAACGGCUCACCAAGGCGACGAUACAUAGCCGACCUGAGAGGGGGAACGGCCCACCUUGGACUGGGACACGGCCCAGACUCCUUAGGGGAGCAGCAGGAGGGGAUCUUCGGCAAUGGGCGGAAGUCUGACCGGGCAACGCCGCGGGGGUGAAGAAGGUUUUCGGGUCGUAAAGAUCUGUUGUAAGAGAAGAACGAGUGUGAGAGUGGAAAGUUCACACUGUGACGGUACCUUACCAGAAAGGGACGGCUAACUACGUG